UAAAUAAAAUGACCUAAUAAACCACCGAUAAGUGGCAUUGUUCCGCAAAGCACUUAACCCAAGAAUCUCUCCAAUUCCUAUAGAGUGGAUUAAAAGAAAAUAAUCAUGAUUCACAUCCGCAAAUACAAAUGAGACAGGGAUGCAUGACCUCAUUUUCUUUCUGGGCCCUUGACACUUUUAACCAGAGACUAAAAUGGAGAAGAGCUAAAAAGAAUUGUCCCAUUUGAACUAACAAGAAACAAAUCAUAUCAUAAACAACUAUUAUACCCACAGACAGAUCUAGCUACCAACAUCUCAUGAAACCAUUACCCGUGCUAUCAUCCCCUGGGUCCAAUUUGCAGUCUCCUUGAGCUGUUCAUCAUCAGAUUGAAGACACUCACCAAGAAAAUCAACAUAGAAUGUGUUGUCUCGAAACAAAAUCUUUGUGUUGGAACCAAGUGCGUCUGCCAGAUCACCCAUCACUGCAACUGCAGCUUUUGUCACACUCUCGUCCCUUUGACGCUCUCUGAAAACCAAUUCUAUAAACUGCAAAAGAUGUCCAGCGUGUGGAAGCAUCACCUCCGGUUUGGAAUUUUUGAAUCCCUGAAGAAUACC
This 594-nucleotide unclassified non-coding RNA is filed under the name Hevea brasiliensis (rubber tree). Lineage: Eukaryota; Viridiplantae; Streptophyta; Magnoliopsida; Malpighiales; Euphorbiaceae. The record is from RNAcentral.